UUAUAAACGAGGCCUUUAGAAGGAGAUCUGAGCUCCACUAGGGAGUCAGGGGCAGCAAGAUGAUGUCGCAGACCCAGGUGUUCGCGUGCCUGCUGCUCUGGGUCUCUGGUGUCUGUAGUGACAUUGUGCUGACCCAGUCUCCAAGGACUCUGGCUGUGUCUGCUGGAGAGAGCGCCACCAUCCACUGCAAGGCCAGCCAGAGUCUUCAAAGUGGUAGUUACAACUACUUAGCCUGGUACCAGCAGAAACCAGGACAGUCUCCCAGACUGCUCAUCUACUUGGCAUCCACCCGGGCAUCUGGUGUCCCGGACCGGUUCAGUGGCAGUGGGUCUGGGACGGAUUUCACUCUCACCAUAAACAACGUCCAGGCAGAAGAUUUUGCUGAUUAUUACUGUCAGCAGGAUCGUAGCUACCCUCCCACAGUGAUUCAUCCUUGAACAAAAACUUCCCUUCAGGCCUCCCCAGCUGCUUGCUCCUCAUUGGGCACGAACGCUUCCUCCAGCUGCCUGAGAGACUGUACCCUGUUCAGUGCCCCAGAGAUUCUACAGACCUUAGCAGAAUGUAAAGGAGCUCUAUGUCUCCUGGAACCUUUGCUAUAGGAAAAGACAACCAAAUUACUAGUUGUAGCUUUGUAUUCUUUUAUAAAAAAUUUAUAAACUCA
Molecule: non-coding RNA, 661 nt
Organism: Octodon degus (degu)
Lineage: Eukaryota; Metazoa; Chordata; Mammalia; Rodentia; Octodontidae
Source: the annotation of a RefSeq genome assembly